CACGUAGGGGGCGAGCGUUGUCCGGAAUCACUGGGCGUAAAGCGCACGCAGGCGGAUGCGCGCGUCGGCUGUGAAAUGCACCGGCUCAACCGGUGCACUGCGGUCGAUACGGCGCGUCUGGAGUGCGGGAGAGGGAAGCGGAAUUCCCGGUGUAGCGGUGAAAUGCGUAGAUAUCGGGAGGAACGCCGGUGGCGAAGGCGGCUUCCUGGCCCGCAACUGACGCUCAUGUGCGAAAGCCAGGGGAGCGAACCGGAUUAGAUACCCGCGUAGUCC
This 273-nucleotide ribosomal RNA is filed under the name uncultured bacterium. RNAcentral's name for it is "partial 16S ribosomal RNA". It matches the Rfam family "Bacterial small subunit ribosomal RNA", at positions 524 to 796 of the family's 1533-position model. The record is from RNAcentral.